Molecule: ribosomal RNA, 253 nt
Filed under: uncultured bacterium
Lineage: Bacteria
Description: partial 16S ribosomal RNA
Rfam family: Bacterial small subunit ribosomal RNA
Source: RNAcentral
GACGAGGGAUCCAAGCGUUGUUCGGAAUUAUUGGGCGUAAAGCGGGCGUAGGUGGCUCUAAAAGUUAGAUGUGAAAUCCCAAGGCUCAACCUUGGUCGUGCAUUUAAUACUGUAGAGCUUGAGUGCGAGAGAGGCUGUUAGAAUUCCUGGUGUAGUGGUGAAAUACGUAGAUAUCAGGAGGAAUACCGGUGGCGAAGGCGGACAGCUGGCUCGACACUGACACUCAUGCCCGAAAGCGUGGGGAUCAAACAGG